Molecule: long non-coding RNA, 696 nt
Organism: Micropterus dolomieu (smallmouth bass)
Lineage: Eukaryota; Metazoa; Chordata; Actinopteri; Centrarchiformes; Centrarchidae
Exons: 2
Source: RefSeq, a predicted model, not a curated record
UGGAUGGCUUAUAUCCAUCGAGGGACAUGUCGUGAUGGGCCCACACCCUUUCUUUUUACACGGAGUAGCUGCUUUCUUCAGCAGCUAUUACGUCUUUAACCUUGAGUAUCCUGCCGCUGGAUCGUCGACGCUGGAGUUCAUUCAAAGGUGCUUCCUGGGCAUCAAUCCUGAAAGAGGCUCAAAGACCAAGAAGCGGACAACAAUGAACCCUCAUGUGAGCACCCUUUGGAGGAAACUUAUUGACUUUGAGUGGGCAUCAUAGUUUUUGUUUUUUGCAGCGGUAGUUGUCAGGCUCAGUUUUGAGUAGCCUUGUUCUUUUUGUAAUUUUUCAAGACAACUUUGCACUACAAGAUUUUUACACAAUGCUGUUGCAUGUGGACUCAUUAUAAUGUUUGAGACUGAGAGGAGCGCCUGACCCCUUUAAGACAUUCCUUCAUCGCUCUCUCCCUUGCUCUCUUAUCUUGCCAUGAAGGCCUCAUUCCCAUCCUGUCCAUUACUGUUAUUGUGACACAGCUAGUUGAAUAGUUGAAUUGUGAAACAGGUAGUUGAAUUGCAAGUUUGCACAAUUUCUCUGCAUUUUCAGAUGGCUUUUAUGACUAGAAAGUUGAAUUUCUUGAACUCUUGAAGUUCUUGGCAUCUGCUGCACAUUGAAAAAUAUUUAUUUGUUAAUAAAUAUGCCAUUGGGCUAACAUUGAA